Molecule: unclassified non-coding RNA, 3344 nt
Filed under: Mizuhopecten yessoensis (Yesso scallop)
Lineage: Eukaryota; Metazoa; Mollusca; Bivalvia; Pectinida; Pectinidae
Description: monocarboxylate transporter 12-like, transcript variant X7
Source: RNAcentral
GGCGUCCACACAUAUACACACCAUUUAUAGCAGUAAGACGGAAACACUGACGGUCUACGCACACGUGUCCCGGAUGAACGUGUACCAUAUGUUUACCUGCUGUGACCACGUGUACUACCGCGUCACACAUGUACCUUUGUUUUAUCAUCUCUGAUUUAACUACUUUAUGGAUUUAUUCAGCAUUCCAUCAUGUGUGAUCGGGAUAGACCCGGUCCUAAAUGAUUGCGGUCACGUGGGACGCUAAAAACAAGAUGUACCGGGAGGAAGAAGGCGCCCGGAAGUGGGUCGUGGUGGUGGCCGCCUUCUUUGUCCAGUUUAUAAUUUGCGGGAUCACGUACAGUCUCGGUAUAUUUCAUCACGUGUUUCAGCAAGUGUUUGAGCACGACCACUUUGAUACGUCAUGGGCGGGGUCCAUCCUCUUGUAUGUGACCGCUAUCACCAGUGUGGUGAUGCGCUGUUUUAUGAAAUCGUUCGGAUGUCGGAUCAGCGUCAUGUUGGGUGGGGUACUCUCAGCCACCGGCCUCGCUCUUGGGAUGGUCGUGACUGACCUCUACCAGGUGUACUUGACCUAUGGGGUACUCACAGGUAUCGGUUUUGGCCUGGCGUGCACACCCUCUAUCAUGAUAGUGGAACAACACUUUUACGAGGGUCGGUUUGAGGCCCUGAGUGUUGUGUUAGGAGGGGUCGGGGCUGGUAUGAUUACAUUCCCUAUUAUCAUCCGUACCAUGCUGGAGUACAUGGCGUGGAGGGGCACCCUCUGGAUGUUAGCUGGGUGUGCUUUAAACAUUUGUGUGUGUGGUGCGCUCAUGAAGCCCGCCAAGAACGCCAAGGAGAUGCAGUUGAUGCCCCAACUAUCGUGUGUCCCCUUACGGAACGUUAUAUUCCUGGGGAUGUGUAUUGCCAACUUAUUCUGGAGCUUUGGGUCCACUAUCAUCUACAUGUACCUGCCCUCUUACUCCUUGGAGCAGGGCACGGACUUUGGACUGUCCAGUUUCCUCAUCGCGUGCGUUGGCAUGUCCAGUUUUACGUCACGUAUGAUAUUCGCCUUUAUGGGUAACAACAGCACCUUGGACGAUAUGACGUCACUGCUUUGUUCGGUGGGGCUUGGCGUCGUUGUGACUGGGAUUUGUCCCAUGCUGUUUGAUGACUUUGCCGGACAGAUCGGCUAUACUCUACUGUUCGGAUUCUACAGUGGGUAUUGGACAACAUUUCUAUCACAAUCUGCUCGUGAACUUGUUGGACCAGAAUAUAUUGCCAUGGGCAACGGAUACUUGUCUUUCAUGAUCGCCCUUGGAUCUCUAAUGGGUGGACCCGCAGCAGGUCUGUUGGUACAAGAGGAGAACGAGUUUAAAUAUGUGUUUUACCUGGCAGGUUCAUGUCUGCUUUGGAGUUCCAUUAUAAUGAUGUUGUUUAAGUACCAGAAGUGCGGCUAUCUGACCAUGGGUAGCGAACGAGAGGACCGUCAUUCACACGAACAAAAAGUCCCCCUCGUCGACAUGUUGGAUGACAACAAGGACAAAGGCAUAAAUCUUAACGAAAAAGCGGUGUUCGUGUAAGUGGUCACGUGAUUGUGUUUGGUGUGACGAAUAAGACAUGAAAAUGGCGAAGCAAAUGGGAAACCAUAAUAUGGGACGCAAUGGUAAGCUCGAUCUGAAGACGGAGGCUCGACGUGAGAAGACCGACACUUUUGCUGCUAAAUCAGACGCAUUCUUUUUCUAGUCGACAGCGCUCGAUUUAAAGUAAAACGUGUGAGGCCGUAACUCUCGGGAAUAGACCAGUGGCCGUGACCAAGACUGUUGUGCAGUUGCAAGUUUUGCAUUUCAUCAUUACUAUGUGGUUUGUAGCAUUCCAAAAUUCAUGUGUGUGUCUAUUCAAAGUCUCUGUCCUGAAUAGGAGUCAGAAAGGUCUGUGAUAAAUCAGAUGUCAUAUUGUACAUCAUCUCAUCCCUGACAGAACGAUGGAACCAAGACGGUUUCCACAGAUCAGCAGGAGUCACGGAAUUAUGUCUGUUUACUAUUUGAUUUUUAUCCCGAAGCACAUUUCUCGUUGGCGUUAAUUGUCUCGUGUUCAAAAAUCAUUGUUAUUUACAUGGAAACAUCUUUACCGGUUAUGACCAAACACACAUCCCAGAACGGUUCUACAGUUAGACCCAGAUUCAUAAGCAUGUUAAAUGUUUGGAAGAACUGCUCUCUGGACUCAGUUUUAGCAGCAGAAACUUAUUCUGUUGAAUAUGUCUUUGAACUUUAAUACUGGUUUCAGAAAUAUAGGAUCAUCGACAAUUUACCCAUGAAUCGCCUACCUCUUCGAUAAGUUUGGGACCAAUAAGGAAAAAACUAAUAACGUGAACAAUUUCAUAUUUAACAUCCAUUUGUUGUGCAUUAAUUGUGAUGAUACAAUCUAAUUGACCUAAACAUGAAAUGUUAACGUCUUAUCUUAUCUGACAAUGUCGAUGAUAACGUCACUGUUUGACCCAGGUGGGGUUAGUAGUUUGGCGUAUAGAUUAAACAAGUCAGUGAUAAUUGAUAGAGGGUAGGCUUAGUGGAGCCGUUCCUUUAUCAGUGGGGUGAAUCUGACUGCAGCAUGUAAUAACAAUUAUAUUCCUACGUACAACUAAGGCCCAAAGACCGAGAUUAACAAUAGCAUAUUCAUUUUUUACUAGUAGUACUGAUUUUUGAAAAUCGUUAAUUAUGGAUCAUCGGUCUUAUUUAUGUAUCAUCAUAGUGGUAUUAGUGUGUGUGUGUGUGUGCGUGUGUUUGUGUGAUUGAUGGCUGGGUCACGGCGUAUUUCUUGGGUUUUUAGGUCACCUGAGACUUUGUCUCAAGUGACCUAUUGCGAUCGCCUUUUGUCCGGCGUCGUACGUCGUGCGUCCGUAAACAAUUUACAUUUUCGACUUCUUCUCAAAAACUACUGUACCAAUUGUAAUGAAAUUUAGCGGGAACCUUCCAUGGCAAACGUUGAACCAAAAGUGUGAAUUAUAUGGUCCCCACGUGGGUCCCCAGGGGCCUUAGGGGUGGGGCCAAAAAGGGUCAAAUUGACUCAAAUUUCAAAAAUCUUCUUCUCUACACCCAGAUAUAGUAGAAUCAAAUACUCUUCAUGGAUGGAAGGGUCUUAAAGUACUUUACCAAAAUUGUGAACUUCAUGACCUCAGGGUCCCGCCUCGGAGGGGUAAAGUUUGAUAUAGUUUAUAUAGGAAAAUGACAUUUUGUGCAUUAUUUGUUGAAUUUCCAUUGGAAAUCAUUCAAACGUGGUUAUAAUUAUAAGUAUAGGUUGAUGGUAUGCACAUACUGACCCCGGAUGACCCCCAGGGGCUGAUGGGCGGGGCCAAAAGGGGUGAAAUUGAUUUG